Molecule: ribosomal RNA, 367 nt
Filed under: uncultured organism
Description: bacterial LSU rRNA
Rfam family: Bacterial large subunit ribosomal RNA
Source: RNAcentral
CUUUACUGUAGCCUGGUAUUGGGUUCGGGCUUUGACUGCGCAGGAUAGGUGGGAGACUAUGAAGCUGCCCUUGUGGGGGCAGUGGAGUCAUCAGUGAGAUACCACUCUGUCAAGGCUAGAAUUCUAACCGUCUGCCGUUAUCCGACGACAGAACAGUAUCAGGUGGGCAGUUUGACUGGGGCGGUCGCCUCCUAAAUGGUAACGGAGGCGCGCAAAGGUUCCCUCAGGCUGGUUGGAAAUCAGCCGAAGAGUGUAAAGGCAGAAGGGAGCUUGACUGCAAGAGCAACAACUCAAGCAGGGACGAAAGUCGGCCUUAGUGAUCCGACGGCGCUGAGUGGAAGGGCCGUCGCUCAACGGAUAAAAGUUA